Molecule: non-coding RNA, 318 nt
Organism: Pelobates cultripes (western spadefoot toad)
Lineage: Eukaryota; Metazoa; Chordata; Amphibia; Anura; Pelobatidae
Source: the annotation of a GenBank genome assembly
GAAAGCAACACCCCUGGACGGGCUUUUUAGAAUCCCCAAACCGGCCAGAGCCCCACCGUCGACAUCAAGUGACCUGAUAAUUCAAUUCAGGCACGGAACAGACAAGGCGGCGAUCCUGAAGGCAAUCAGGGGUAGGCCAAAUUAUCGUUUUGAAAACAUGGCACUGGAAUUCUAUAAUGACCUGUCCGGCAGCACAAUGGCCUGGCGGAGGUCGCUCAAGCCCCUCACAUCCAUGCUCCAACAGCGCAACAUCGAGUACCGCUGGCGAAUGCCCCGCAUGCUUCAGAUCAUACAUGGAGAGACCACAUACCAAAUCCA